This 1463-nucleotide ribosomal RNA is filed under the name Escherichia coli. RNAcentral's name for it is "partial 23S ribosomal RNA". It matches the Rfam family "Bacterial large subunit ribosomal RNA", at positions 419 to 1868 of the family's 2925-position model. Lineage: Bacteria; Pseudomonadati; Pseudomonadota; Gammaproteobacteria; Enterobacterales; Enterobacteriaceae. The record is from RNAcentral.
GGGACACGUGGUAUCCUGUCUGAAUAUGGGGGGACCAUCCUCCAAGGCUAAAUACUCCUGACUGACCGAUAGUGAACCAGUACCGUGAGGGAAAGGCGAAAAGAACCCCGGCGAGGGGAGUGAAAAAGAACCUGAAACCGUGUACGUACAAGCAGUGGGAGCACGCUUAGGCGUGUGACUGCGUACCUUUUGUAUAAUGGGUCAGCGACUUAUAUUCUGUAGCAAGGUUAACCGAAUAGGGGAGCCGAAGGGAAACCGAGUCUUAACUGGGCGUUAAGUUGCAGGGUAUAGACCCGAAACCCGGUGAUCUAGCCAUGGGCAGGUUGAAGGUUGGGUAACACUAACUGGAGGACCGAACCGACUAAUGUUGAAAAAUUAGCGGAUGACUUGUGGCUGGGGGUGAAAGGCCAAUCAAACCGGGAGAUAGCUGGUUCUCCCCGAAAGCUAUUUAGGUAGCGCCUCGUGAAUUCAUCUCCGGGGGUAGAGCACUGUUUCGGCAAGGGGGUCAUCCCGACUUACCAACCCGAUGCAAACUGCGAAUACCGGAGAAUGUUAUCACGGGAGACACACGGCGGGUGCUAACGUCCGUCGUGAAGAGGGAAACAACCCAGACCGCCAGCUAAGGUCCCAAAGUCAUGGUUAAGUGGGAAACGAUGUGGGAAGGCCCAGACAGCCAGGAUGUUGGCUUAGAAGCAGCCAUCAUUUAAAGAAAGCGUAAUAGCUCACUGGUCGAGUCGGCCUGCGCGGAAGAUGUAACGGGGCUAAACCAUGCACCGAAGCUGCGGCAGCGACACUAUGUGUUGUUGGGUAGGGGAGCGUUCUGUAAGCCUGUGAAGGUGUGCUGUGAGGCAUGCUGGAGGUAUCAGAAGUGCGAAUGCUGACAUAAGUAACGAUAAAGCGGGUGAAAAGCCCGCUCGCCGGAAGACCAAGGGUUCCUGUCCAACGUUAAUCGGGGCAGGGUGAGUCGACCCCUAAGGCGAGGCCGAAAGGCGUAGUCGAUGGGAAACAGGUUAAUAUUCCUGUACUUGGUGUUACUGCGAAGGGGGGACGGAGAAGGCUAUGUUGGCCGGGCGACGGUUGUCCCGGUUUAAGCGUGUAGGCUGGUUUUCCAGGCAAAUCCGGAAAAUCAAGGCUGAGGCGUGAUGACGAGGCACUACGGUGCUGAAGCAACAAAUGCCCUGCUUCCAGGAAAAGCCUCUAAGCAUCAGGUAACAUCAAAUCGUACCCCAAACCGACACAGGUGGUCAGGUAGAGAAUACCAAGGCGCUUGAGAGAACUCGGGUGAAGGAACUAGGCAAAAUGGUGCCGUAACUUCGGGAGAAGGCACGCUGAUAUGUAGGUGAAGUCCCUCGCGGAUGGAGCUGAAAUCAGUCGAAGAUACCAGCUGGCUGCAACUGUUUAUUAAAAACACAGCACUGUGCAAACACGAAAGUGGACGUAUACGGUGUGACGCCUGCCCGGUG